CCACAAGGGGUGAAGCUUGCGGUUUAAUUGGAGUCAACGCCGGAAAUCUUACCGGGGGCGACAGCAGGAUGAAAGCCAGAUUAAAGGUCUUGCCAGACAAGCUGAGAGGAGGUGCAUGGCCGUCGCCAGUUCGUGCCGUGAGGUGUCCUGUUAAGUCAGGCAACGAUCGAGACCCGCAUCCCCCGUUGCAACUAGCCUUGAGCUGGGCACACUGGGGAGACCGCCGCCGAUAAGGCGGAGGAAGGAGCGGGCCACGGCAGGUCAGUAUGCCCCGAAUCUCCCGGGCCACACGCGAGCUGCAAUGGCAGGCACAAUGGGUUCCGACCUCGAAAGGGGGAGGCAAUCUCUAAAACCUGCCGUAGUUGGGAUCGAGGGUUGAAACCCGUCCUCGUGAAUAUGGAAUCCCUAGUAACCGCGUGUCAUCACCGCGCGGUGAAUACGUCCCUGCUCCUUGC
Molecule: ribosomal RNA, 455 nt
Filed under: uncultured archaeon
Lineage: Archaea
Description: bacterial SSU rRNA
Rfam family: Archaeal small subunit ribosomal RNA
Source: RNAcentral